Long non-coding RNA from Cimex lectularius (bed bug), 494 nucleotides. RefSeq lists it as uncharacterized. The record is from RefSeq and is a predicted model, not a curated record. NCBI's taxonomy places the organism in Eukaryota, Metazoa, Arthropoda, Insecta, Hemiptera, Cimicidae. The transcript is spliced from 2 exons.
UGUUCUACACAGUACACGGUUAACGGUUUUUAAUACCAUUUUUUCUUCCGUUUGUGAAACGUUAUUCGAUUUUGCUUCCAAUAUUUUGUUUUGUUUCAAAAUUGCUUCCGUCCCUUAACUACUUAGUUUUCCUUGCUUCCAAUUUCUAUCACGUUAUUUGCAUCGUUUUACUUCCGCGAAUAGUUCGCCAAAGGUUAACGUGAGUGCCGAGUCAAGAUCGCCGUUCGUCUCCUUAACACGUCGGAUUCAGCCGAAGCCCUCAAGAGAAAAGUUGCAAUGUAUGCGACAAGUGUGGCAAGACGUACACGCACAGGUAUACGCUGCGCAGGCACAUCAACUACGAAUGCGGUGUCCAGCCACGCUUUCAGUGCCAAGUCUGCUUGAAGAAGUUCAAACAAAAGUCCAAUCUCAAAUCACAUUACAUCACUUGUCAUUUGAAUUAAUUAUACUUUUUUUAUUUAGUUAUUAAAUUUUUUGAAAUAUUUUUUCUUUAA